Molecule: ribosomal RNA, 231 nt
Filed under: uncultured fungus
Lineage: Eukaryota; Fungi
Description: partial 18S ribosomal RNA
Rfam family: Eukaryotic small subunit ribosomal RNA
Source: RNAcentral
AAGAUUAAGCCAUGCAUGUCUAAGUAUAAGCACUUUGUACUGUGAAACUGCGAAUGGCUCAUUAAAUCAGUUAUCGUUUAUUUGAUAGUACCCUACUACAUGGAUACCUGUGGUAAUUCUAGAGCUAAUACAUGCGCAAAACCCCGACUUCGGAAGGGGUGUAUUUAUUAGAUAAAAAACCAAUGCCCUUCGGGGCUCCUUGGUGAUUCAUAAUAACUUAACGAAUCGCAU